Molecule: long non-coding RNA, 1189 nt
Organism: Formica exsecta
Lineage: Eukaryota; Metazoa; Arthropoda; Insecta; Hymenoptera; Formicidae
Exons: 2
Source: RefSeq, a predicted model, not a curated record
ACUUGACCAAUUGCGUACAAUAUGGCUGAGUAGUGAUGAUCGUUUUCGCGCCUUUUUGCGACCAAGAGGCUCUAUGAAUGUCAAACGAUCUACCUUUUUGUAUAUAUUUACAUACAAAUUUUUUAAGAAUAUCGCUGAUUGAUUAAUAUGCAAUAUCUGUACAAGAUAGCAGCAUGUCUUAUAAUGAUUCAAUAGAACAGCGGAGAAAACGGUCCAAAUUAACGAAGGAAAUGGCUAUUGCAGAUAUUGCGUCUUCUAUUGAUUACAUAGCCAAAUCUGUUGAAUCUAUGAGUGCGAGUUACAGCGAGAUGUUAAGGAUUAACAAGAACGUUGUCACAUAUCUGCAAAAGGUUGAAAAACAUGAGAAAGGAAUGAACCAGAUUGUAGCGGAUAUAGAACAUACAUCCACUAAAGAAAAAUAAUAACUGGUAUAACGGUUGUAUUUAUCUCAUAUUGUUUGCAUUUGAUACACUCUCUCACUGCAGUUUAUGGUAUGUCAUCACUCUGAAAACCUAAAUCUACAGUUAACAAGAAGAGUACAUAUAUAGUUUUUGCUUUGACAUAAUUCAAAACAGCAGUGAGAAGCCUUAAACUAAAAAUUUCAUGUUAUAAUGACUUAGAUAUAAGUAUUUAUUAACAAAUAUAUAUGUAAGCGAAAGUCUUGUGUGAUAUCAUAAAUUUAUUGUCAUGUGUAUAUCAUGUGCAAUAAGUAGAGUAAAUAAUAGUUAUUUCUUACUUUGUCAUUAUAACAAUAAAUACAAAAACAAUAAUUUUAUGAUAUAAAUAAUAUUGAAGAUUAUAUUUUUAUGAAUAAUUCUUUUCUUAUUAUAUCACAAUGUUCCUUGAUCUUUAUCCAACAGUAAAUACAUAAUAGCUUAAUACCUUGGAACUAGGAAAGCCUGUGUCACUCUACCAUAGUUUGGAAAUAUAAUCACAAAAUGUAAUAUUUCUUAUACUAUUAGAUCGCAGACCUGGCAAUAUCUAUUAUCAUACUAUUUUAUGCAUUGCGAACGCACCAAUACUGAAUGUUUAUAGAUUCUGCAAUAUACUUUUUAUUGUGAUGAAACUGCGACAAUCUAAUGAAUGGACGAAUAAAAUAAUCUAUUCUUUCAGUUCCGAGGCAUUGUAUUAAUGACAAGUCUUGUAUGUGUAACAAAGAGACUAACAAAGUGACUGUGGAUACGUCUUA